Small nuclear RNA from Apodemus sylvaticus (European woodmouse), 104 nucleotides. Lineage: Eukaryota; Metazoa; Chordata; Mammalia; Rodentia; Muridae. The record is from RefSeq and is a predicted model, not a curated record.
GUGCUCGCUCCGGCAGCACAUAUACUAAAAUUGGAACAAUACAGAGAUUAGCAUGGCCCCUCUACAAGGAUGACACGCAAAUUAAUGGAGUGUUCCAUAUUUUU